Molecule: long non-coding RNA, 589 nt
Filed under: Oryza sativa Indica Group (long-grained rice)
Lineage: Eukaryota; Viridiplantae; Streptophyta; Magnoliopsida; Poales; Poaceae
Description: lncRNA OsZS97_06G007170
Source: RNAcentral
AUGGCGGCGGCAGGGCUCGCGGCGGCAGCCACCCCCGGUUCCGGCGCGGGCGGACCUAAAGGUGGAGCUGGCCGGAUCAGCGUCGGCGUCGAGUUGGGCGCACGGGAGAAGGCGUCGAUCGAUGGUGCAUGUAGGCGGCGGGGAUGGCGUUGGCAGAGGGCGCGAAGGCGGUUGUGGUGGUCCCUACGCGGCGACGACGUGGUGCUCGGCGGCGACGGCAGCGGUCUCCCUCAGAUCUGCGCCUCUUGGCCGGAUCUGGAAGGUGGCCGGUGGUGGUGGUCGGCGACGGCGGCUGACUUGCGACGGCUGGCGACGGCAGUUGGCGACGGUAGCGAUGGUGGUGGUCGCGGCAGUUGGCAGCGACGGUGUCGGCUGACGACGCCGAAGGAGGACUUGGCGGCGACGUGGCAGACAGCGACAGCGAAGCGGCCGUUGGCAGUGGCGGCUGUUCGCGGAGGUGGUGGCUGGCGUUGGUGGCAGCGGCGACAGUGGUUGACUUGCGGCGGUUGUGACUGUGGAGGCGUUGGCGAUGUCGGCGGAUGUGGGUCGCUGGUGGCAGCAAGUGGAGGUGCGCGGUGAGGAUGGCGAC